AAGAGACAGCAGUCGCCGCGGGAAUACGGAGGGUGCAAGCGUUAUCCGGAUUUAUUGGGUUUAAAGGGUCCGUAGGCGGACUUAUAAGUCAGUGGUGAAAGCCUGUCGCUUAACGAUAGAACUGCCAUUGAUACUGUAAGUCUUGAGUAUAUUUGAGGUAGCUGGAAUAAGUAGUGUAGCGGUGAAAUGCAUAGAUAUUACUUAGAACACCAAUUGCGAAGGCAGGUUACCAAGAUAUAACUGACGCUGAGGGACGAAAGCGUGGGUAGCGAACAGGAUUAGAUACCCCAGUAGUCCCUGUCUCUUAUAC
Molecule: ribosomal RNA, 310 nt
Filed under: uncultured bacterium
Lineage: Bacteria
Description: partial 16S ribosomal RNA
Rfam family: Bacterial small subunit ribosomal RNA
Source: RNAcentral